This 398-nucleotide long non-coding RNA is filed under the name Heterocephalus glaber (naked mole-rat). RNAcentral's name for it is "lncRNA (ENSHGLG00100032414.2)". The record is from RNAcentral. Lineage: Eukaryota; Metazoa; Chordata; Mammalia; Rodentia; Bathyergidae.
AAAUUACAGACAGCAGACCAUGGGACUUCUCCGCCUCCAUAAUCAUAGCUGGACUGCAGUGCUGUACCUUGCCAGCAGAGAAGGCUGUCUAGCACACAUCAGCCUGAAACCAGGAGAGACUCAGGCUUGGAUGUAGCACCAUCCAGCCUCAUCCUGGGUACUGAGGAUCCCAACACCGAGCUUCCUAGCUCGCCAGCUCCAGAGUGGUCUCAGCCUGCGAGCAUCCACUCAGGAGUCAGACCUGGAUUUCCUGCUGUGGAACCUAAAACAAGUUACUUAAUCUCUCUGAGCCAGUGUACUUCACUAGAGUUAGAGUCAACAAAUCCACCUUUGUGGAGUUGUUACCAGGGCAGUAUUUAUCAGAGUUUGGCAGCCAAGGCACAUGGGCCAAAUUUAUC